CAGGACCAGAAGUUACCUGAACGUUUGAUAGUAAUCACGAGAAUUGGUUUCACCGAACCCCUUUACAACGACAAAGUAAGCUGGACGAUUGUAAAAAGCUGGCUCCCGUGAAAACUUUCCUUUUUCAACGAUCAACCACCGCCUGUCUGGAAAUUGGACACGGAAGAAAAAAAAUACAGAACACUCGUGACACUUGUUUUCCAAAGUUCAACGAAACAGGAUAUGGUGGCAGGUGUUUGGCCUUCGGCUGGAUGGUCAAAAACUCGUGCCAAAGGUUCAGAUAGGAAGGCUUCUU
Long non-coding RNA from Osmia bicornis bicornis, 295 nucleotides. RefSeq lists it as uncharacterized. NCBI's taxonomy places the organism in Eukaryota, Metazoa, Arthropoda, Insecta, Hymenoptera, Megachilidae. The transcript is spliced from 3 exons. The record is from RefSeq and is a predicted model, not a curated record.